UGGGGAAUAUUGCACAAUGGGCGCAAGCCUGAUGCAGCCAUGCCGCGUGUGUGAAGAAGGCCUUCGGUUGUAAAGCACUUUCAGCGAGGAGGAAGGUGGUGAACUUAAUACGUUCAUCAAUUGACGUUACUCGCAGAAGAAGCACCGGCUAACUCCGUGCCAGCAGCCGCGGUAAUACGGGAGGGUGCAAGCGUUAAUCGGAAUUACUGGGCGUAAAGCGCACGCAGGCGGUUUGUUAAGUCAGAUGUGAAAUCCCCGGGCUCAACCUGGGAACUGCAUUUGAAACUGGCAAGCUAGAGUCUCGUAGAGGGGGGUAGAAUUCCAGGUGUAGCGGUGAAAUGCGUAGAGAUCUGGAGGAAUACCGGUGGCGAAGGCGGCCCCCUGGACGAAGACUGACGCUCAGGUGCGAAAGCGUGGGGAGCAAACAGGAUUAGAUACCCCUGGUAGUCCACGCUGUAAACGAUGUCGAUUUUGGAGGUUGUGCCCCUUGAGGCGUGGNUUCCGGAGCUAACG
This 513-nucleotide ribosomal RNA is filed under the name uncultured bacterium. Its description in RNAcentral is "partial 16S ribosomal RNA". It matches the Rfam family "Bacterial small subunit ribosomal RNA", at positions 355 to 857 of the family's 1533-position model. The record is from RNAcentral.